GACGAACGCUGGCGGCGUGCCUAAUACAUGCAAGUCGAGCGAAGUUUUUCUGGUGCUUGCACUAGAAAAACUUAGCGGCGAACGGGUGAGUAACACGUAAAGAACCUGCCUCAUAGACUGGGACAACUAUUGGAAACGAUAGCUAAUACCGGAUAACAGUAUUUCUCGCAUGAGAGAUAUUUAAAAGUUGGUUAUGCUAACACUAUGAGAUGGCUUUGCGGUGCAUUAGCUAGUUGGUGGGGUAAAGGCCCACCAAGGCGACGAUGCAUAGCCGACCUGAGAGGGUGAUCGGCCACACUGGGGCUGAGACACGGCCCAGACUCCUACGGGAGGCAGCAGUAGGGAAUCUUCCGCAAAGGGCGAAAGCCUGACGGAGCAACGCCGCGUGAGUGAAGAAGGAUUUCGGUUCGUAAAGCUCUGUUGUUAGGGAAGAAUGGAUAUGUAGUAACUAUACAUGUAAGAGACGGUACCUAACCAGAAAGCCACGGCUAACUACGUG
This 499-nucleotide ribosomal RNA is filed under the name uncultured bacterium. RNAcentral's name for it is "partial 16S ribosomal RNA". It matches the Rfam family "Bacterial small subunit ribosomal RNA", at positions 28 to 507 of the family's 1533-position model. The record is from RNAcentral.